RNAcentral lists this RNase P RNA (367 nucleotides) under Bacteroidota bacterium. Its description in RNAcentral is "RNase P RNA component class A". It matches the Rfam family "Bacterial RNase P class A". Rfam says of the family: Ribonuclease P (RNase P) is a ubiquitous endoribonuclease, found in archaea, bacteria and eukarya as well as chloroplasts and mitochondria. The record is from RNAcentral. Lineage: Bacteria; Pseudomonadati; Bacteroidota.
ACUGCUAACCGAGCUAUCGCCUUUGGAAACAGGGGAGGAAAGUCUGGACAGCAUAGAGCAAUUUACCGGUGAAUAGCCGGCUGCUGCGCAAGCGGUAAGAGACAGUGCCACAGAAAAUAACUAUCUGCUACUGCAGAAAAAGGUGAAAAUGUGAGGUAAGAGCUCACAGUAUUUGUAAGUAAUUACCAAUACGGGUAAACCUUAAAUGCUGAAAUGCCAUGUAUAGGAUUGGUUUGAGAGCUGCUCGUUCAAUUCCGCCUUAUAGGUGGAAGCCAUCCAGGGUAGGCAGAAACAGGUGUUUAGUAAUGAACAUCGCAGAUAAAUGAUAGCCUUAGAACAAAAUCCGGCUUAUGAGUUAGUAGUGAAG